UUUUUUUUUUUUUUUUUUUUUUUUCCUGAGUGCUUUAAGCCAACACCCCUUCAGUUGUGUCUGCCCCAUACUGCCAAUAUGCUGUGGGUGAGGAGCAUCAUGUACCUCAAUUCAGUUAAGCUGUGUCCUACAGCUGUUGCCAGUAAGAAAGAGAAGUCUGCUUUAGGGUUGUGAGAGAGCUGGUGAACACAAGGGUGACAGCUAGAGUGAUUCCAGUGUUCCUAAUCAUACCAUACACACGCUGCCUGAGCACUCACUGUUUAACCAAUGGUGCCCUGUGAUAUGUUUUUAUUAAGCAGAUUUUUUUUCCAGGUGUACUUGGUCACUUCUGCUUUCUAAUCACAUUUAUUACUCUCAUCUGAGGCUAAUUUGAGAUUCCUGGUGACAGGAAUUAUCUAACGGCACUGACAGUUUGGAGACUCUGUCAUGAUCCCUGUUGCAACUUAAGAUAUGGAUCUCAGUGGCUGUUCUGUGUGUUUUUGUUAAGACUAGCUCUGGAGCCUUAGCUAGCUGCACAAAAAUAGAGAACCUCCAUGUGAUGACAUGGUGAAUAGUAGUAUCCUGACAUAAAAUUUAGUUUCUUCAAAGAAGGGAAGAUCUGAAUUUCUUUCCAGGAAGAUUGGUUGCAUUUCUGGAUCCAAAGAUGAUUGAGGCUGGGUAUGCUGUUGGAAAAGGAAGAAUUGCCUGUUAAAAGGUGAAUAAUUCUAAAGGAUGCUGAGAUGUACUCUGGCCACGUGAUUUGGCCAUGGGGGCAAUAUUGUAUAAUGACAUUAAGUGCAACAGGAUUAAAUGGAUGAAGAGAUAAGAGGAGCAAGAACUUGCGACUAAGCAGUACAUAGUACAGCUGCUGAACUGCAGAAUAGGUGGAUGAUAACGUCAAAGUACAGACGUUCCGAGAAGUUUGUUUUACAGAGUCCCUUGUGCAAUGCAUCAGUUCCUGAGCAUAAUUUGGAAACCGAACAGCAUGUGACUAUUGGUUGCUUCUGGUGAGACUGUCAGCUGAGGUGGGUUGCCCUCGGUGUUCCCUGAAUGCAGUGUGCCAUGAGGAAAAGCUAGUGUUCUUUUUCUUUUCAAGUGUUCAGCUGUGUUUGGCAGAUUUUAUAAAUAUAGCAUUAUUACAAUUAUUGUUAUUAUUUGUUGUCAUUAUAUAUUUAUAAAUACCACAACUACA
Cygnus olor (mute swan) is the source of this 1171-nucleotide long non-coding RNA. RefSeq lists it as uncharacterized. The record is from RefSeq and is a predicted model, not a curated record. The transcript has 3 exons. NCBI's taxonomy places the organism in Eukaryota, Metazoa, Chordata, Aves, Anseriformes, Anatidae.